Molecule: long non-coding RNA, 3969 nt
Filed under: Nicotiana tabacum (common tobacco)
Lineage: Eukaryota; Viridiplantae; Streptophyta; Magnoliopsida; Solanales; Solanaceae
Description: long non-coding RNA (NTAB_LNC000776)
Source: RNAcentral
GUCAUCUCCCAGCAAACUUCAAUACAAGGCUCAAUAAGAAUUCAUGGCUUACUGCUUACAGGAAUCAGAUGCAAAAUCCUAUAAGAAUUAAACCAAACCUUAACGACACAAACAAACGACAUAAGCCAAAACAAAAGGAUUUCUACGGCAAACAUUGUGCUUUCUUCACUAUUGCAUUUUUGGAUUCAAAUAUCGAAAUUAAAUACUUACGUUCUUAAGAGCAAAUUAACAGAACAUAAAAAUAUUCCACCAUUCGAAGCAACGAGAUAGCAACUCAAGGAUUCAAUAGAGCAACCAAACAAUUUAUCGAAUGCAUGACAUUAACCCACUCAAAAAAAUGAAUUUAAGAGAAGAGGAUGGACCUUUUGAUGCGCAAGCUUUCCCUUUUUAUUAAGAAACCAACUGAUUUACAUGGUUGCGACCAAAGCUUCCAAGUGAAAACACGAAAAAGAUCAAAAUCGGGACUUCAAACGUCAACCUCGACUCGCUUCAACCAGAAUUGAGAACGACCCCUUCGGCAGCCCCGAACUCGUCGAAAAACCAACAGAAAAGAAAUUAGCUAGGCGUUGUCUUUAGAGCUGAAGCGCAUUGACUUCGAAUAUGUUUCGAAGCUGCUGUGCCGGGGAGUUUCGGGCGCUGUUUUGGGUGGUUUUUGGAUGGAUUUUCGCUGGGUUUAGAGCUGUGUUUCCACGGAGUUUUCAGCUAUGUUUUUGGACUGAUGAGGAAUCAUUUCUGGGGUGUUUUGAGGUGAGAAACAGGGUUGUUUCACAGAAGUGAGGAGUUAAUGGGGAUGUUUGCGGCUGACUCGCUGGUUGCCGGAGAAGGAAAAGGAGCCGCUGCUCUUUCUCUAUCGAGAAUCAGAAAGAGAGAUCAUGGAUUCCUUUGUUGAGAAAUCGCUGCUGUGUGAUUUUGUUGAAGAAGGUGAAGAACAGGAAGGGGGGGGGGGGGGGGGUCUUGUUCUCUGUUUUUUUCCGUUCUCCAGCCUUUUUUUUCUUUUUGUUCUGUGUGUGCAUGUGUUAUAUAGAAAGAGAAUAGACAUGAAAGGAAAUAUUCCCCGGCUCUAAUUUUUGUCCUCAUUCCCCUCUCUAAUUUUUCUUUUUCCAUUUUUUUGUUCGCUUCCCCAUGUGCUAAAAAAUGUGAGUGAGAAUAAAAUGGGGUGCAUGUGAGUUUGUUACCAAGAGAUAAGGGACUCCAUUUUAAUGAAUUGAUUUUUCUUUGCAACUUUACUUCUUCCGUUGCUUCAUUUCUCGUUUUUGCAAAUUUUUCACGUUUUCUUUCUUUUUCUUUUUUCCUUUUUGUUUUGUUUUAUUUCCUAUUAAUGAUAAAAUAAAACUAGUUACAAAUACUAUUUAUCUAAAGUAAGCAAUAUUAAAAAGAGAACUAAAAUAAUUCUAUUAGAGAAAUUCAAAUACUACUCGAUAUUUACUAAAUACUUAUAACUUAAAAUUACACUAAACCAAAUAAAAAUAUUUUUUGAAACUUUUCUUUUAUCCUUUGUAAAAAUAAAAUAAAAUAAAACUAGCUAUCAAAAAUAUCAAUAAUCUAACAUAAAGAAAAAAUAAUUUUUUGUUAGUUUUCUUUUUUUUUUAGUCUUUGAAAUAAAAUAAACCGAAGAAGUUUAAAAAUAGCCAAAAUAACAAUAUUAGACCUAAACUCAAUAUCUACAUUGCUAAAAUGUGAAAAAUCUUGGGGAGGGUCNNNNNNNNNNNNNNNNNNNNNNNNNAAACAAGCGUUCCUACUAGGGAUCCAGCAUGAGGCUAUAUUAUUCUAGGUUUAAAACCUGGGUGUAUUGUUCUAGACCUGGCUUACCCGAGCGGACAACACGAGCCGGGGGGGGGGGGGCAGCGUAUCGGGAAUACAGAAGCUUCACCGGCUUUGCAACUUAUCCGAACCUCGUUCUAAAAUUGGAGAAGACUCUAGACAAAAGAGAAGUCACACGAAGUGCACCCUCCUCAAAUGAUUUAGAAGACUCAGAAAGAAGAAGGGUUUCGUAGCAGUUUAUAUACAGUUCACAAAAUAUCAAAGCAGUAAAAGCAGCAUUUAGCACGUUAGGCCCAAUCAUGUAAAUAAAACCAGAUAAUAAAUAAAGCCAAAUAUAACAAUUAUUCUAAGCUCGAAUUCUUGAACCCUGAACUAGAGAUUCUGGGUUCGUUUCCCCAGCAGAGUCGCCAGAGCUGUCACACUUCCUUUUUACACACCCGAAGGUAUAUAAGGGAGUUUGCCAAUUUAAAUGAUAUUAUUCGAUAUGAGAUUAUUUAUUAAUUUUUUAUUCAGAGUCGCCACUUGGAAUAUUUUUAUUGGUGUCCCAAGUCACCUGCUUAUUUUAAAUCCCAAAUCGAGGAAGAUUCGACUUUCUUUUUGAAGUUUGCGAACCAGAAAUUCUGAAUAAGGAAUUCUGUUAACCCGGGGGAAGGUGUUAGGCAUCCCCAGAUUCCGUGGUUCUAGCACGGUCGCUUAAUCUAUUACAAUUGGCCUAUUAUCUGAUUUUAAUACGUGUUUUAUCCUAUCGUAUAAUUUUAAAUUAUUAACCGCUUUUAACUAAUUUGAGGAAGAUUCAACGUUACCUAAAACACAUCUUUGAACCACGCCACAUGAAAUGUACCCACGAUCCACAACAUAUUUUAUUUAACUUUGUUGAGAUUUGGAUUUGGGUCACAUGAAAUGCACACCCAAGUUUAAGGAAAUUGAUUUAAAUUACGCGCCUAAAGCAACUACGCACCUUCACAUUUGCGAGGGCCAUGAAAAAUUCAACUGAUGACACACCUCGAUUUUUAAAAGAGCUAACUAAUUUUACGAGGGCCAUGGCUACUUAAUAAAAAUGGCACACCUCAAUUUCACGAGAACAAAUACUGACCCACAAGUAAAAACACCAAACCAAUCUCGUUCUCAACUCCAGUGAUUUGCUAACCAAAUUGUGCUCAAGGCUCUUAGUUGUUAACAAGUAAGACUAUAAAUUUGUAAUUUAAUGCCAUCUCCCAGCAAACUUCAAUACAAGGCUCAAUAAGAAUUCAUGACUUACUGCUUAUAGGAAUCAGAUGCAAAAUCCUAUAAGAAUUAAACCAAACCUUAACGACACAAACAAACGACAUAAGCCAAAACAAGAGGAUUUCUACGGCAAACAUUGUGCUUUCUUCACUAUUGCAUUUUUGGAUUCAAAUAUCGAAAUUAAACACUUACGUUCUUAAGAGCAAAUUAACAGAACAUAAAAAUAUUCUACCAUUCGAAGCAACGAGAUAACAACUCAAGGAUUCCGAAAUAGAGCAACCAAACAAUUUAUCGAAUGCAUGACAUUAACCCACUCAAAAAAAUGAAUUUAAGAGAAGAAGAUGGACCUUUUGAUGCACAAGCUUUCCCUUUUUAUUAAGAAACCAACUGAUUUACAUGGUUGCGACCAAAGCUUCCAAGUGAAAACACGAACAAGACCAAAACCGGGACUUCAAACGUCGACCUCGACUCGCUUCAACCAGAAUUGAGAACGACCCCUUCGGUAGCACUGAACUCGUUGAAAAACCAACAGAGAAGAAAUGAGCUAGGCGUUGUCUUUAGAGCUGAAGCGCAGUGAGUUCGAAUAUGUUUCGAAGAUGCUGUGCCGGGGAGUUUCGGGCACUGUUUUGGGUGGUUUUUGGACGGAUUUUCGCUGGGUUUAGAGCUGUGAUUCCACGGAGUUUUCAACUAUGUUUUUGGACUAAUGAGGAAUCAUUUCUGGGGUUUUUUGAGGUGAGAAACAGGGUUGUUUCACAGCUGGUUUUGGAGAGUGAGGAGUUAAUGGGGAUGUUUGCGGCUGACUCGCUGGUUGCCGGAGAAGGAAAAGGAGCCGCUGCUCUUUCUCUAUCGAGAAUCAGAAAGAGAGAUCAUGUACCCCUUUGUUGAGAAAUCGCUGCUGUGUGAUUUUGUUGAAGAAGGUGAAGAACAGGAAAUGGGGGGGUCGUUCUCUGUUUUUUUCCGUUCUCCAGCCUUUUUUUCUUUUUG